Molecule: ribosomal RNA, 497 nt
Filed under: uncultured bacterium
Lineage: Bacteria
Description: partial 16S ribosomal RNA
Rfam family: Bacterial small subunit ribosomal RNA
Source: RNAcentral
GAUGAACGCUGGCGGCGUGCCUAAUACAUGCAAGUCGAGCGAACGGACGAGAAGCUUGCUUUUCUGAUGUUAACGGCGGACGGGUGAGUAACACGUGGAUAACCUACCUAUAAGACUGGGAUAACUUCGGGAAACCGGAGCUAAUACCGGAUAAUAUUUUGAACCGAAUGGUUCAAAAGUUAAAGACGGUCUUGCUGUCACUUAUAGAUGGAUCCGCGCUGCAUUAGUUAGUUGGUACGGUAACGGCUUACCAAGGCAACGCUGCAUAGCCGACCUGAGAGGGUGAUCGGCGACACUGGAACUGAGACACGGCACAGACUCCUAGGGGAGGCAGCAGUAGGGAAUCUUCCGCAAUGGGCGAAAGCCUGACGGAGCAACGCCGCGUGGGUGAUGAAGGUCUUCGGAUCGUAAAACUCUGUUAUUAGGGAAGAACAUAUGUGUAAGUAACUGUGCACAUCUUGACGGUACCUAAUCAGAAAGCCACGGCUAACUACGUG